GGUUAAGCGACUAAGCGUACACGGUGGAUGCCCUGGCAGUCAGAGGCGAUGAAGGACGUGCUAAUCUGCGAAAAGCGCCGGCGAGGUGAUAUGAACCCUUGACCCGGCGAUGUCCGAAUGGGGAAACCCAGUGCAAUCCGUUGCACUAUCGUUAACUGAAUACAUAGGUUAACGAGGCGAACCGGGGGAACUGAAACAUCUAAGUACCCCGAGGAAAAGAAAUCAACCGAGAUUCCCCCAGUAGCGGCGAGCGAACGGGGAGCAGCCCGGAGUCUGAAUCAGCUUGUGUGUUAGUGGAACGGUCUGGAAAGUCCGACGGUACAGGGUGAUAGUCCCGUACACGAAAGCACACUUGCUGUGAACUCGAAGAGUAGGGCGGGACACGUGGUAUCCUGUCUGAAUAUGGGGGGACCAUCCUCCAAGGCUAAAUACUCCUGACUGACCGAUAGUGAACCAGUACCGUGAGGGAAAGGCGAAAAGAACCCCGGCGAGGGGAGUGAAAAAGAACCUGAAACCGUGUACGUACAAGCAGUGGGAGCCUCUUUAUGGGGUGACUGCGUACCUUUUGUAUAAUGGGUCAGCGACUUAUAUUCUGUAGCAAGGUUAACCGUAUAGGGGAGCCGAAGGGAAACCGAGUCUUAACUGGGCGUUAAGUUGCAGGGUAUAGACCCGAAACCCGGUGAUCUAGCCAUGGGCAGGUUGAAGGUUGGGUAACACUAACUGGAGGACCGAACCGACUAAUGUUGAAAAAUUAGCGGAUGACCUGUGGCUGGGGGUGAAAGGCCAAUCAAACCGGGAGAUAGCUGGUUCUCCCCGAAAGCUAUUUAGGUAGCGCCUCGUGAACUCAUCUUCGGGGGUAGAGCACUGUUUCGGCUAGGGGGCCAUCCCGGCUUACCAACCCGAUGCAAACUACGAAUACCGAAGAAUGUUAUCACGGGAGACACACGGCGGGUGCUAACGUCCGUCGUGAAGAGGGAAACAACCCAGACCGCCAGCUAAGGUCCCAAAGUCAUGGUUAAGUGGGAAACGAUGUGGGAAGGCACAGACAGCCAGGAUGUUGGCUUAGAAGCAGCCAUCAUUUAAAGAAAGCGUAAUAGCUCACUGGUCGAGUCGGCCUGCGCGGAAGAUGUAACGGGGCUAAACCAUGCACCGAAGCUGCGGCAGCGACACUAUGUGUUGUUGGGUAGGGGAGCGUUCUGUAAGCCGUUGAAGGUGUGCUGUGAGGCAUGCUGGAGGUAUCAGAAGUGCGAAUGCUGACAUAAGUAACGAUAAAGCGGGUGAAAAGCCCGCUCGCCGGAAGACCAAGGGUUCCUGUCCAACGUUAAUCGGGGCAGGGUGAGUCGACCCCUAAGGCGAGGCCGAAAGGCGUAGUCGAUGGGAAACAGGUUAAUAUUCCUGUACUUGGUGUUACUGCGAAGGGGGGACGGAGAAGGCUAUGUCAGCCGGGCGACGGUUGUCCCGGUUUAAGCAUGUAGGCGGAGGUUCCAGGUAAAUCCGGUACCUUGUUAACGCUGAGGUGUGAUGACGAGGCACUACGGUGCUGAAGUGAUAAAUGCCCUGCUUCCAGGAAAAGCCUCUAAGCAUCAGGUAACACGAAAUCGUACCCCAAACCGACACAGGUGGUCAGGUAGAGAAUACCAAGGCGCUUGAGAGAACUCGGGUGAAGGAACUAGGCAAAAUGGUGCCGUAACUUCGGGAGAAGGCACGCUGAUGUGUAGGUGAAGCCCCUGCGGGCGGAGCUGAAAUCAGUCGAAGAUACCAGCUGGCUGCAACUGUUUAUUAAAAACACAGCACUGUGCAAACACGAAAGUGGACGUAUACGGUGUGACGCCUGCCCGGUGCCGGAAGGUUAAUUGAUGGGGUUAGCUGUAAGGCGAAGCUCUUGAUCGAAGCCCCGGUAAACGGCGGCCGUAACUAUAACGGUCCUAAGGUAGCGAAAUUCCUUGUCGGGUAAGUUCCGACCUGCACGAAUGGCGUAAUGAUGGCCAGGCUGUCUCCACCCGAGACUCAGUGAAAUUGAACUCGCUGUGAAGAUGCAGUGUACCCGCGGCAAGACGGAAAGACCCCGUGAACCUUUACUAUAGCUUGACACUGAACACUGGUCCUUGAUGUGUAGGAUAGGUGGGAGGCUUUGAAGCGUGGACGCCAGUCUGCGUGGAGCCAACCUUGAAAUACCACCCUUUAAUGGCUGGUGUUCUAACGUAGACCCGUAAUCCGGGUUGCGGACAGUGUCUGGUGGGUAGUUUGACUGGGGCGGUCUCCUCCCAAAGAGUAACGGAGGAGCACGAAGGUUGGCUAAUCCUGGUCGGACAUCAGGAGGUUAGUGCAAUGGCAUAAGCCAGCUUGACUGCGAGCGUGACGGCGCGAGCAGGUGCGAAAGCAGGUCAUAGUGAUCCGGUGGUUCUGAAUGGAAGGGCCAUCGCUCAACGGAUAAAAGGUACUCCGGGGAUAACAGGCUGAUACCGCCCAAGAGUUCAUAUCGACGGCGGUGUUUGGCACCUCGAUGUCGGCUCAUCACAUCCUGGGGCUGAAGUAGGUCCCAAGGGUAUGGCUGUUCGCCAUUUAAAGUGGUACGCGAGCUGGGUUUAGAACGUCGUGAGACAGUUCGGUCCCUAUCUGCCGUGGGCGCUGGAGAAUUGAGGGGGGCUGCUCCUAGUACGAGAGGACCGGAGUGGACGCAUCACUGGUGUUCGGGUUGUCAUGCCAAUGGCACUGCCCGGUAGCUAAAUGCGGAAGAGAUAAGUGCUGAAAGCAUCUAAGCACGAAACUUGCCCCGAGAUGAGUUCUCCCUGAGACCCUGAGUCUCCUGAAGGAACGUUGAAGACGACGACGUUGAUAGGUCGGGUGUGUAAGCGCAGCGAUGCGUUGAGCUAACCGAUACUAAUGAACCGUGAGGCUUAACCUU
Molecule: ribosomal RNA, 2905 nt
Filed under: Enterobacter hormaechei
Lineage: Bacteria; Pseudomonadati; Pseudomonadota; Gammaproteobacteria; Enterobacterales; Enterobacteriaceae
Description: 23S ribosomal RNA
Rfam family: Bacterial large subunit ribosomal RNA
Source: RNAcentral